CUGAUAUUCGCUCCCAAACCAUAUCACUUUCCUCCCCUUCUCUCUCUCUCUCUCAACAACGAAGAACAUCCUUCAUCGACGUCGGCUCUAUCAAUUAAAAGAGCCAAAUUCGAUUUACCAAACAAAAAUCUGAUUCCAAAACCCAUGCUGCCUAUUUAUCGCCCCACCCCAGCAUCAAAUCUCCCUACUGAAGGUCCGAUUCUUGGAAGGUCCAUAUCUAAGCGAGAACGAACAGCCUUAGCUUUGGCCCUAAAGUGCAAAACCCAGACUCGCCACUUCUUUUCAAUUUGCUACCAAGCUAUUUAUUUAUUGUUGAUGCCGCUAUAGUAGCGGAUUUGAGCAUGGGGUAGUUUUGGGGGUCGAGGUGGUGUUGGUAAUGACAGUGGUGAUAUGUGCAUAUGGUGGUUGCAGUAGUUUGCGAUUUGCGGUGGUAAUCUAUGUAUGUUGUGUGUGAUGUGUAGAGAGAUGCUGUCGGUUCUGGUGUGGUAGAUAAUACAGGCAAUGGUGGUGUUGGGAUGAUGGUGCAUCCUUGGUCAGUUUUUAAAUUUAAUUUUAUUAUUUUAUUAUUUUUUUUGGUGGUGGUUAGCUGUGUUGAUGGCAGUUAUGAUGCAAUUAGUGUUUAUGGUAGUCACGAUGAUUCGGGCGAUGGUGUUGAUGCAACCAUCGUGGUGAUAUUUAGUGGUGGUGAUGGUUGUCAAAGACGUGUUGCGGUGGUAGUGGUGUUGGCUUUUGCGGUGAGGUUGCGGUGGUGAUUGUGGUGCCAAUUUUGGGCUACAGCAGUGGUGUAGUGCAAGCAAGUUGUGUGGUGUGUUGGAUUGGAAUCGGUGGUUGGGUGUUUGGUGCAUAUGACCAAUUA
This 856-nucleotide long non-coding RNA is filed under the name Olea europaea subsp. europaea. Lineage: Eukaryota; Viridiplantae; Streptophyta; Magnoliopsida; Lamiales; Oleaceae. The record is from RNAcentral.